Long non-coding RNA from Eurytemora carolleeae, 236 nucleotides. RefSeq lists it as uncharacterized. Lineage: Eukaryota; Metazoa; Arthropoda; Copepoda; Calanoida; Temoridae. The record is from RefSeq and is a predicted model, not a curated record. The transcript is spliced from 3 exons.
ACAUCUUUUUCUGUUAAAGUAUCAAAUCAGGAAAAUUCCACAUCUCAAUUUGGCUUCUCAUUUGAUGAAAGUGGUAUAACAACAGCUGUUCCCUCCACGCCACGUGCAAGUUCCUCACUAGCGACACACUUUGAUAUAGCGGUCCUGCGCUGUCUCUUCAUCUCACAGUGGAACGAAGAUGGGGUUUUCUGGGCAACUUCAUACUUAGAUAAAAGGUAAGUUUAUUUGAAGUCUUU